AUUAUUGUUUAGAAAAACUAAAUUCCAUCAUUGCGAGACUAAUUUUCGGACUCGAAAUGUUACAAUUGGUGCAUACAUGUCGAAGGCAUGCAUACGUCUGCUACAAGAAAUGUACACUUGCUACGUACAGAAAAGUAUUUUACUAUACUUCAUCACUGAGUUGAGUUUUCUCUUACCCCAUGCCUUGAGAUACUCUUAUUGUUAUGGCAUAAUAUAUUAUUGGAAACUAUUUCUAAGCUCCCAAUAUCUAUUUCUAUCUAUUAUAGGCACAACUUUUAGUGUUCACUUUAAUGUUAACCAUUACGUUGGAUAAAUUAUCAUUAAUCAUGUUCUUUAUCACUUCACGCAUGUAAAGACGUGCUUAUAUUUAUUAUGAUGGAAGAG
RNAcentral lists this long non-coding RNA (384 nucleotides) under Carica papaya (papaya). RNAcentral's name for it is "long non-coding RNA (CPAP_LNC007627)". The record is from RNAcentral. Lineage: Eukaryota; Viridiplantae; Streptophyta; Magnoliopsida; Brassicales; Caricaceae.